UUCGCCCUUAGAGUUUGAUCUUGGCUCAGGACGAACGCUGGCGGCGUGCUUAACACAUGCAAGUCGAACGGAGCGCCUAUGAAGGAGAUUUCCGUCAACGGAAUAGGUUGCUUAGUGGCGGACGGGUGAGUAACGCGUGAGGAACCUGCCUUUCAGAGGGGGACAACAGGUGGAAACGACUGCUAAUACCGCAUAACACAUAGGUGCCGCAUGGCAUUUUAUGUCAAAGAUUUAUCGCUGAAAGAUGGCCUCGCGUCUGAUUAGCUAGUUGGUGAGGUAACGGCUCCACCAAGAGCGACGAUCAGUAGCCGGACUGAGAGAGUUGGCCGGCCACAUUGGGACUGAGAUACGGCCCAGACUCCUACGGGAGGCAGCAGUGGGGAAUAUUGGGCAAUGGGCGCAAGCCUGACCCAGCAACGCCGCGUGAAGGAAGAAGGCUUUUGGGUUGUAAACUUCUUUUGACAGGGAAGAGUAGAAGACGGUACCUGUCGAAUAAGCCUACGGCUAACUACGUGCCAGCAGCCGCGGUAAUACGUAGGUGGCAAGCGUUGUCCGGAUUUACUGGGUGUAAAGGGCGUGUAGCGGGGUUGACAAGUCAGAUGUGAAAUCCUGCGGCUUAACCGCAGAAUUGCAUUUGAAACUGUUGAUCUUGAGUACUGGAGAGGCAGACGGAAUUCCUAGUGUAGCGGUGAAAUGCGUGGAUAUUAGGAGGAACACCAGUGGCGAAGGCGGUCUGCUGGACAGCAACUGACGGUGAGGCGCGAAAGCGUGGGGAGCAAACAGGAUUAGAUACCCUGGUAGUCCACGCUGUAAACGAUGGAUACUAGGUGUGCGGGGACUGUCCCCCUGCGUGCUGCAGCUAACGCAAUAAGUAUCCCACCUGGGGAGUACGAUCGCAAGGUUGAAACUCAAAGGAAUUGACGGGGGCCCGCACAAGCGGUGGAUUAUGUGGUUUAAUUCGAUGCAACGCGAAGAACCUUCCCAGGGCUUGACAUCCUUCUAACGAAGUAGAGAUACAUUAGGUACCCUUCGGGGGAAGUAGAGACAGGUGGUGCAUGGUUGUCGUCAGCUCGUGUCGUGAGAUGUUGGGUUAAGUCCCGCAACGAGCGCAACCCUUAUUGUUAGUUGCUACGCAAGAGCACUCUAGCGAGACUGCCGUUGACAAAACGGAGGAAGGUGGGGACGACGUCAAAUCAUCAUGCCCCUUAUGUCCUGGGCUACACACGUAAUACAAUGGCGGCCAACAGAGGGAUGCAAAGCUGUGAAGUGGAGCGAACCCCUAAAAGCCGUCCCAGUUCAGAUUGCAGUCUGCAACUCGCCUGCAUGAAGUCGGAAUCGCUAGUAAUCGCGGAUCAGCAUGCCGCGGUGAAUACAUUCCCGGGCCUUGCACACACCGCCCGUCA
RNAcentral lists this ribosomal RNA (1403 nucleotides) under uncultured bacterium. RNAcentral describes it as "16S ribosomal RNA". It matches the Rfam family "Bacterial small subunit ribosomal RNA". The record is from RNAcentral.